AGGACGCUACACACCACAAAGCCACAUUUAAGGGAAGUCACUUCCAUCAUAGAUGAUGGACUUCUCAAUGGUCAGGUGGUAGCUGACCUUCUUGGAGAGAAAUCUGUAGAAAAGAAAACACAGGAGAAACAUGAAGGAGAUGCUCUUGGGCUCGGAAGAGAAAACCCAGUUGAUGAUGGGCCCUCGGUCGCCCACAGUGAUGGGAAUGGCACUAUAGCAACUGGACUUGACAAACAGUUCACGGGAACCAUCACCGAAAUGAAGAAUCUCAUCUAUAUCCAGAGGCACAGAGGCACUACAGAAAGACAUGCACCCAAUCAACAGAAAUAACAAUUGUGUAGCCGUAUGAGUGUGUGUGUGUGUGUGUGUGUUUUCUAUAGGCAUAUACUAACGUGAGUUCUCCUGACUUGAGGAGGGUGAUUUCUGCAUCCUGUACAGUAGGGACCAUCUCUUCCUGUUCAUCAGGGGUCACGUCACUCGAUAUGCUACUGUAAAAGACAAUAAUAACAACCUACCAUAAAUAGACGGAACAUUUUUUGAAGUUAGAAUGUUUGGAAUGGUUGCCUGGAUGUUGCUAUGACAAGGGGUUUGAACACUUGUUAACGGGUUGCUAUGUGUUUACUUGAUGGACAAAGUCAUAAAGAAAAAUCUGUUCCCUUAUAUCUAAACUGUCCAAAAAAAAUAAUAAUAAUAAUAAUAA
Molecule: long non-coding RNA, 700 nt
Organism: Cyprinus carpio (common carp)
Lineage: Eukaryota; Metazoa; Chordata; Actinopteri; Cypriniformes; Cyprinidae
Exons: 2
Source: RefSeq, a predicted model, not a curated record